CCUACGGGAGUCAGCAGUGGGGAAUAUUGGACAAUGGGCGAAAGCCUGAUCCAGCCAUGCCGCGUGUGUGAAGAAGGCCUUCGGGUUGUAAAGCACUUUCAGUGGGGAAGAAAGCCUUGGGGCUAAUACCCUCGAGGAAGGACAUCACCCACAGAAGAAGCACCGGCUAACUCCGUGCCAGCAGCCGCGGUAAUACGGAGGGUGCGAGCGUUAAUCGGAAUUACUGGGCGUAAAGCGCGCGUAGGCGGUCUGAUAAGCCGGUUGUGAAAGCCCCGGGCUCAACCUGGGAACGGCAUCCGGAACUGUCAGGCUAGAGUGCAGGAGAGGAAGGUAGAAUUCCCGGUGUAGCGGUGAAAUGCGUAGAGAUCGGGAGGAAUACCAGUGGCGAAGGCGGCCUUCUGGACUGACACUGACGCUGAGGUGCGAAAGCGUGGGUAGCAAACAGGAUUAGAUACCCGAGUAGUC
This 465-nucleotide ribosomal RNA is filed under the name Vreelandella stevensii. RNAcentral describes it as "partial 16S ribosomal RNA". It matches the Rfam family "Bacterial small subunit ribosomal RNA", at positions 338 to 795 of the family's 1533-position model. Lineage: Bacteria; Pseudomonadati; Pseudomonadota; Gammaproteobacteria; Oceanospirillales; Halomonadaceae. The record is from RNAcentral.